RNAcentral lists this ribosomal RNA (384 nucleotides) under uncultured bacterium. RNAcentral's name for it is "bacterial SSU rRNA". It matches the Rfam family "Bacterial small subunit ribosomal RNA", at positions 29 to 414 of the family's 1533-position model. The record is from RNAcentral.
AUUGAACGCUGGCGGCAUGCCUUACACAUGCAAGUCGAACGGCAGCGCGGGAGCAAUCCUGGCGGCGAGUGGCGAACGGGUGAGUAAUAUAUCGGAACGUGCCCAGUAGUGGGGGAUAGCCCGGCGAAAGCCGGAUUAAUACCGCAUGAGACCUGAGGGUGAAGGCGGGGGAUCGCAAGACCUCGCGCUAUUGGAGCGGCCGAUAUCAGAUUAGCUAGUUGGUGGGGUAAAGGCCUACCAAGGCAACGAUCUGUAGUUGGUCUGAGAGGACGACCAGCCACACUGGGACUGAGACACGGCCCAGACUCCUACGGGAGGCAGCAGUGGGGAAUUUUGGACAAUGGGCGCAAGCCUGAUCCAGCAAUGCCGCGUGCAGGAAGAAGG